Non-coding RNA from Lonchura striata (white-rumped munia), 2411 nucleotides. NCBI's taxonomy places the organism in Eukaryota, Metazoa, Chordata, Aves, Passeriformes, Estrildidae. The record is from RefSeq and is a predicted model, not a curated record.
AAGGGGAAAGGAGCACACACAGCAUGUUCCAGCUACAUCAGUUUCUGUACGUCUGAAACGUGUCCUGAUUCUAGAAGAAUGUCUGUUAGAUAGCAUGAAAUACAUGAAAUACAAGUCAUUUGGCACACUUAGGGAGCUCUGUCCUACAAUUCUUUCCCCUUCUGCUUCUCUUGUUGCUAAUCAAACAGCUGCUUUUUGGUUUCAGGCUUUAACCUAUUUUUGGGAUCCUUUUAUGCUAUUGGGCCUUUGAAAUGCAUGAAUUGCUAUGAAAGAAAGCCAGUGUCAUUGCUGGGAGGGAGGAGGAAGGCCUAUAGGUGAAGUCAUGUCUAGUGAUGAGAGACUGUCUCACCUAUUCAUCCCUUCUUUUAUUUCUGUAAAGCAACCCAGUUCCCCAUGGCACAUGGUUCCAGGCCUUUUCUGCUUUUAUUUAAGCUUUACAAUUCUAUCAGCCACAGCCCUUCGUUAGCACAGCACCAGUAGAUAACUCCCUCCUUUGGGGGAAUAUUUUUUUCAUAUUUAGGCUCCUGUUCCCACUGCAGGAAUGUGCUGGCCCAAAGUAGAAAAGGAAGUGGAGGAGCUUUGUUUCCAAGGAAAGAAGCUGGAGAAUAGUGGAGAAAGAAGGAAGCUGUGGAGGUAGAAUCAGCUUAUUGGAAGAGCAUUAAACCUUGUUUCUGUCAGUGGCUGUGUUCUCACUGGCAUGUCAAAUUUCAUUCCUUUUAAAGUCCAAGCUGAGCUCAGCACAUUUUGGAUGAUUAAAAAAGGAUUUUUUAUUUUUGUUCCCUGGUUUCUGACUUUUCUCCUGAACAAUGUUUUUGAUCUGAUCAAACAAUUUUGUUCCUCCAGACAGACCUUUACUCUCAUUGCUGCAUCCAUUGCUGUCUUGAGGCAGCAAAGAGGGUUCCUCUUUGCUCUGCAUCUCUGCACAGUUUCUGUGGAUCUGAAAUUGAAUCAUCUCCAAUGUAUCUGCUAAACCCUGGCUGAAGACAAGAAGGUCUGAACACAGCAAGGUUUGGCUUUCUUUUUUAUGGUUGAAAAAUGUGGUUUGAAUUCUGUGCUACAGAGAAUGUAGUAUUGCAUAGAUGGCAGAUAAUCUGCCAUGUUUUCCCCUGUUUAAAAUACAGCACCCAUGACAGCUGUACAGUGUCUUGUAUUUUUACUGCACAGUAAACAAUGAAGUUUAGGAAACACAUUUUGUUAAGCAGAGCGUGGUUAAGGAGGUAGAUGGUUGGGAAGAAUAAUUCCCCCUAAGAUUACAAGUAUUAAUUCCUAUUUGUUUUUCCUGCCCUUCUUUUUGUAGGAAAAAAUCAGGCAUUUGCUUUCACAUCAUAUUGCAGUUGAAAAUACAGUGUUAAGAUAGUGUUGGAUGACUGGAAGGGAUGGCCCAAUGGAAGUGAUGGAUGGGAGCAGUUGGAGAGAUAGUGAAUGUGUCUGUGAUUUUUGAAAUUAAUAACCAUGGUAUAAAAUAAGUUUUGUGGUUUUAUGUGUUUGACACUGUCCCCAGCAGUAACUCUCCUUUAUGUCUUUGAACAACGCUCAGCAGAGAGUCUUGUUGUUAUAAAUUAAUUUAAUUAAAUUUCUGUUAAUUUAGUGACCUCAACUGAUACCCCAAAGGCCCAGUGACUGGUUGGUCUCAGAUGACCACAAGCUGAAAUUUUGGGAUAAUAUUGCCCUCUAAUAACUUUAUGUGAUGAUUAGUGAUCUCAGAUGACUAUGAGCCAAAAUUUUGGGAUACAGGUCAUGUCUAGUAACCCUAUGUGAUAACUGGUGAUCUCAGAUGACCCCAAGCUGAAAUUGUCCCAGCUUUCAUAAGGAAAAAAAAAAUCAAUAAAAAUACACCAAAGCAAACAAACAAACAAAAAGGCAGAAAAAUCUAAAAACCAAAAUAGUGAAGGGAUUGGAUGGGGAGAAAAGACCAUUAUCCAAAUUAUUCCAAGACAGGAUAGAGACUGGGUCAUAGGGAAAACAUCAGAAAAUGCAAAGUCCAAAUGUGCUGUUCCAAAUGCCAAAAGAGCUCUCUUUACACCUUUUCCCUCCUUUCUUUUUUGUAACCUACAGCCUGCUGGACUUACUCAGAACAUGGGGUCAACGAAAUGCAGAAGGCCAAGAUGACCCAACUUCAGUCCAGAACUCAGUAAGGAGAGCCAUACACUUGUGAAAGGAAGAAGCACUGCAACCUGCUGUCAGCCUGGAAUGUUGGUGUAAAAUCCAUAAAAUCCAUGCAGUUAUGCUGCCUUCACAGUGAAGCUUCCAGCCAGAUGAAAUUUGUAUGUGUGAGGAGUUUGUGCUGGGUGGAAAUACCUGAAAUACUGCAGUUACCUGUUGGUUGAAGAACAAGCAUCCAUGAAUAAAUGUAAUUUUGAAUUGUCCCAUUGACUGACCAACACCACACAAUAAAACAGUCCCUUUCCUGC